AUACUUACCUGGCAAGAGAGACACCGUGAUCAAGAAGGCGGUUCACCCAGGGCGAGGCUCAGCCAUUGCACUCCGGCUGUGCUGACCCCUGCGAAUUUCCCAAAUGUGGAAAUCUCGAUUGCAUAAUUUCUGGUAGUGGGGGACUGCGUUCGCGCUCUCCCCUG
RNAcentral lists this small nuclear RNA (164 nucleotides) under Salmo salar (Atlantic salmon). Its description in RNAcentral is "U1 spliceosomal RNA (multiple genes)". It matches the Rfam family "U1 spliceosomal RNA". From Rfam's summary of the family: U1 is a small nuclear RNA (snRNA) component of the spliceosome (involved in pre-mRNA splicing). Its 5' end forms complementary base pairs with the 5' splice junction, thus defining the 5' donor site of an intron. The record is from Rfam by way of RNAcentral. Lineage: Eukaryota; Metazoa; Chordata; Actinopteri; Salmoniformes; Salmonidae.